Molecule: long non-coding RNA, 3560 nt
Organism: Sapajus apella (tufted capuchin)
Lineage: Eukaryota; Metazoa; Chordata; Mammalia; Primates; Cebidae
Exons: 2
Source: RefSeq, a predicted model, not a curated record
UUGUUUCAUAUUUUAGUUUUUGACAAUAACCUAAGUUUAUUAUAAAAGAUAUACCAUGACCUUACCUUAUUUUAUUCAAAUCUGAUGAGAAAUGAAGGAUAUUAAUAUGUGGGUAAUAAUUUACAGAUACUCAAAUCAGAAAGAACUGGAUUCAAAUAAAAUUGUCAUUUUUUACUCAUUAGGAUAAGUUACCUCUCUGAUUCUUCGAACUAUAUGAUAUAGAUUCCAGUCUGAAGGAGAGAAUGUGUUGGAAAAAAACACAGGCAUUCACUGAUUCUAUGCAUGUCUGUUAAAUUCCUGAGGUCUAAUGGAGAUGCAAAGAGCAAAAGACUCAGCUUUGCAAUCCGUUCUCCCUUGAUGUUCAGAUGUCUUCAUUCACUUCCUUAUUCCAGACUGUUAGGAAAGUCCAAAAUAAAUUGAAAUACGUAGUUUAUAAAGCCCUUGAAAUAACUAUAACCUAUAACAUAAUUCUUGGUUAAUAAUUAUAAGAAUUAUGCAUAUCUUUGCAUAAUGGAGUUUGCUUAACUAAUCUUGUAAAUACUAGCUUAAACCUAGAAAUAAACUGUCUACAGAUCAAACAAAAAAUUUCAAGUAUAUUUUGAAUAAACUAAUGUUUCUCUUUUUCUCUUCAAAAUUAGAGAUAGUAUUGUUUUGUGAAUGAAGUCAGUUAAAAAAAAGAAAAGCUACUUUUAAAAAUCCAGACUCUUCAAUAUGCUACCUGACUAACCUUGGGAAAGUUGCAAGCUAUUUAUUUAAGCUUGGCCAUGUGCUUGGACAUGGAAGCAUACCAUGAAUAAUAAUAGUACCUACCUCAUAGAGAAGCUAUGAGAAUUGCAUAAAAUAUUGCAUGUAAAGAGCAAAUAAUUCAGUGUAUUUGCAUUUCUGUAUCCUGUGCAUGGAACUCUUUUCCCACAAAUAAGCAAGGCCCUUCAUCAGAAAGAAUUUUCCUAAUCCCAUUUUAAAUAGCAUCCUUCACUUUCUCACCUCCCCUCAUCACAUCUCAAAUAACAUGGCCAUGCAUUAGGAAAAAAAAAAAAAAGUUCAAAGAAUCUGACAGCUUGCCUAAACAGUUUUCUUACAGGGUCAUUCCUACUGACACAGUUCUCAAGAUAAAUUUUAAUAAAGAGGAAUCUCCUUUUUAGAACUGAGAAAAUGUUGAAUGUCAUAUAUCAACAAAAGCCUGAUUUCUUGGGGGACAGACACUUUGUAUACUUCAGCAUACAAUAGUUUUCUAAUCUUCAAAAAUAUUUUUAAUUAAAGCAAUUGUCACACAACUGUGAUGUUGUCACUUAUCAGCAUAAUGAAUUUAAACUGAAGGCCACUCUUACUGUGAGGAAGAGUUGAUUAGCUGGAGGGACUGUAUUGGUAAUAAUUAGAAAAGUGCAGUGGUGCAAAUCAAUAUCUUGGUGCUGAGACUUUCCUUGGGGAAUCUAAACCAUAACAAAGCUGUCAAGCUGCUGGGAGAUGGGGAUGUUGCUGAUUUGUGUUGCUAAUUUAUUCUCUGAUAUUUUUAAUUUAAACACUUUAUACAUUAAUAAACAAAGAUAUUUGACUUAAUAGUAUUUAAGGAUUACUUGAUAACCUAAUUGUGACCUUUUUUGGGAGGAAAGGAGGAAACAUUACCAGAAUUAUUAUAAUUUAUUUUGGUCAAUGUUUAGCAAAUAGCAGUCACUUGCUAUUUAGUGUUAUAAUUUUUAUAUUAGUAAUUUUAUUUCAAAUGUUUGCAUUUAUAAGGAGAGACAAUAUAAAAUAGACAGGACAGUCUCUUGACUACUGAAUUAUAGUCAUGGCCACUUAAACAGCAUGCGUCAAGAAUGCUUAAUGUAAAGGAGAACUAUCUCACUUAUCAUAGAUUUUUAGGUUAUCAAGGAUAAUAACUUCUUGGAAGAGUUCAUUUAUGGUAGCAUUUUCAAAAGUCUUUUUCCUGUAUUAUAUUCUAAGUUUUUCUGCAAAUCAGACACAGAAUUUUGUGCAAAAGCACAAUUUUUGGAGCUCAGUUUGCUGAUAUUAAGAGAUUGGAAUUUGGUUACAGUUAUUUAUUGCUGCCUACCAAAUUACUUCAAACUUUGUGGCGUUAUGCAAAAAUGCUCAUGAAAUCUGUAGAUCAUGAAUUUGGAACUGGUAAAACAGGAUGACUUGUCUUUUGCUUUAUGAUUUCUGGGAGGGUAUCAGAGGGUAAUGUAAAUGAUGGUUAGGGGCUAGAAUAAUUUGCUCACUGCCUAGUAGAGUAGCUACUAUUUAUCUUUAAAUAUGCAUUAAUUAAAAUGAAAUGCAAAUAAUAAUUUAAUUAUAUAGUUAUAUUAGCCAUAUUUUAAAUGUUUAAGAGGCACAAUGUAGUGGCUCCCCAAGUAGACAUUUCAGAUAUACAGAACAUUUCCAUCAUCACAGGAAGUUCUUUAAACUGUACUAAUCUAGAGACAUCGUGACUCACAUGUCUAACACCUGGGCUGGGAAUGACUCAGGUUUGGAACAAGUGGGAUUGUUGAUGUACGUAUGCAACAUUUCCGUUAGGAGUUCUUAGGGCAUGGAAGCUGAAUUCUAGGAGAAAGAUUUUCAACAGCAUGCAUUCCAAGAGAACCAGGCAGAAACUGUUGGCCUUUUAUGCUUCAGCUUCCGAAGUCACAUAGGGUUAUCUCAACAUACAUUAUUGGACACAUGAUGAGCCUAUCCACCCAGAUUUCAGACGUGAGGAUAGAGAACCUAUAGAAGUUUGCUGAGUUUCCUUAAAACAAUUAUUUUACAUUGUUAGGAAGUUCAUACAUCCACAUUUCUUUAUGAUUGAUUACUGGUUACUGAUGCUUUAUUUCUUUGGUGAUUUCAUGUUUUCCUGAUUGUCCUUAAUCCUUGUGGCCAGCUAUUGGUGUCUGUCCAUCUGAAGAAGUGGAGACUUACUCCAGUCUUUGCAGACUGGCUUGUUUGGGAAAGCCCUUCACCAGUCAGCUCCCACAGAGAUUUUAAACAGGCUGGCUAUUGUGGUCCAGGAGUGGGCUUGCAGCUAGAGUCCUCAUGCAAGCUGGCCUUUUGUCUGUGCCCACUGGGGUAGACCUUUUUUUUUUAGGUUUGCUGCAGUAGGCUUGAAGCCUGGGUUUGCAAGUAUGAGCCUGCAGCCUGUAUCCACAGGGGCUGGCCUGAGCCUGUUUCCAUAGGAGCUGCGAUGAUGCUCAGGUAGGCUUUUGAUCUGCAAAGGUCACCCAGGUGUUGGAAUGGACCUUGUGUCUGUGUCUACAGGGGCCAGCCUGUCGGUUGGGUUGACAGGUGCUGUUCUGAUAACUACCAGCCCAGUGUCAGGGUCAAUCUGGAGGCUGGGGCCACUGGGGCCAUCCUUGCUCUUUGGUAGGCCUAGGGACUGAGUCUUGGAGGUGGGCCCAGAACCUACAUCUGGAGGUGAGGGGAGGGCAGUUGAGGGGAGGAGAGGGCACGGGAAGAGCAGGAAGGGGACAAUUCAUAUGCUCCGCGAUAAAUGCUGAGAUUCUGAUUCUUCGAUAAAACUUAGUUUUACAUUUCUGCCUUUGGAUUUUGAGAGAUAGCCCUGUGUUUUUGACAAAAAAAAAAAAAAAAAA